Molecule: ribosomal RNA, 568 nt
Filed under: uncultured bacterium
Lineage: Bacteria
Description: bacterial SSU rRNA
Rfam family: Bacterial small subunit ribosomal RNA
Source: RNAcentral
CCUACGGGAGGCAGCAGUGGGGAAUAUUGCACAAUGGGCGCAAGCCUGAUGCAGCAACGCCGCGUGAGGGAUGACGGCCUUCGGGUUGUAAACCUCUUUCAGUAGGGAAGAAGCGAAAGUGACGGUACCUACAGAAGAAGCACCGGCUAACUACGUGCCAGCAGCCGCGGUAAUACGUAGGGUGCGAGCGUUGUCCGGAAUUAUUGGGCGUAAAGAGCUUGUAGGCGGUUUGUCGCGUCUGCUGUGAAAAUCCGGGGCUCAACCCCGGACUUGCAGUGGGUACGGGCAGACUAGAGUGUGGUAGGGGAGACUGGAAUUCCUGGUGUAGCGGUGAAAUGCGCAGAUAUCAGGAGGAACACCGAUGGCGAAGGCAGGUCUCUGGGCCACUACUGACGCUGAGAAGCGAAAGCGUGGGGAGCGAACAGGAUUAGAUACCCUGGUAGUCCACGCCGUAAACGUUGGGAACUAGGUGUGGGUCUCAUUCCACGAGAUCCGUGCCGCAGCUAACGCAUUAAGUUCCCCGCCUGGGGAGUACGGCCGCAAGGCUAAAACUCAAAGGAAUUGACGG